CCCUUAGAUGUUCUGGGCUGCACGCGCGCUACACUGAAGCUAUCAACACGUUUUCCCUCCCUGAGAAGGGCGGGUAACCUUUUGAAUCAGCUUCGUGGUAGGGAUCGGGGCUUGCAAUUGUUCCCCGUGAACCAGGAAUUCCUAGUAGACGCGAGUCAUAAGCUCGCAUCGAUUAAGUCCCUGCCCUUUGUACACACCGCCCGUCGCUGCUACCGAUUGGUUGAUCUGGUGAAUUAUUCGGACUGCCGGCUGAAGGGGUUUCCUCAUCUGCCAGCGGAAAGUCUUGUUAACCCUAUCAACUAGAGGAAGCAGAAGUCGUAACA
RNAcentral lists this ribosomal RNA (323 nucleotides) under uncultured eukaryote. Its description in RNAcentral is "partial 18S ribosomal RNA". It matches the Rfam family "Eukaryotic small subunit ribosomal RNA", at positions 1470 to 1796 of the family's 1831-position model. The record is from RNAcentral.